This 1299-nucleotide long non-coding RNA is filed under the name Homo sapiens (human). RNAcentral describes it as "novel transcript". Lineage: Eukaryota; Metazoa; Chordata; Mammalia; Primates; Hominidae. The record is from RNAcentral.
GGGACUGGCGAUACUCGAGGUAAUGGCUACUGGGGCCAAGUCGUGGGCGACCUGCAGUGCAUGGGUAGAGUAAGGUGCCUCCGCCCAGUCUAAGCAGCCCUCCCCAGAGCUGGUGGGUUCCCAGGAGUGAUGCCUGUUUGUCAGUGAGGCCCCGCGGGGAUGAGGACGGAGCAUUACGCAGCGCACUGCGCCCCCUUGAACUCUGCAGAUGCCAGGAUGUCUUGAGGCCUUCCAGACCUUGCUCCACCUCCACCACCAGGUCUCCAGUCCUGAGCCACAUGCUGCCAUUUUUGUCUCAGAAGCACCCCUCUUCCAGGUGGAAGAUUGAAGGUCUGAAGAGUGGGAAGUCCCAGGAACAGGCAAUUCCAGGAAGAUAUGAGGAAAAUCAAGAAAGAGAAGGAAACUGAAGCUAGUGGGAAGUGCUUCAAGUUGGAGAUGAUGCUGAGAUGGCCAAAAAGUGAGAGGUGGAAAACAUUUGGAUUUUCAAACCUGAGUGAAUGAAUGAAUAAACGGACCUGGGAAUUGAUCAACAAUGGCUGCUGCAUCGCGUAAAGAGAGACGACCAGGUGUCAGCUGGCUGUCAACUGAUCUAGGAUGGUCUUGGAGGGACAACGAGGGCAACCCCAUGUCUCUUCUUUAGCAGGCCAGCCCAGACAUGCUUUCAUGGCUGAAUAGGAGCCAGCCUGGUCAUGGGAGCAAUUUUCAAGCAAGUCUCUGCUUGAAUGUCACAUUUACUAACAUCCUGUUGGCCAAGGUGCAUCCCAUGGCUGAGCCCAGUGUCCAAGUGAAAGGGCACCAGGAAGUUCCCUGCAGCGCUGUGGGUACUGGAAGAAUGGGCGCCAUCUUCAUGACAGCAGCAUGCUAAGUUACAGAAAGUGAGCGGCGUUCUAGACAAAGCAAGCUCAUCUGUGAAUGGAUCAUGGCGGAAACCUGACCACAGUAUGUUGGGAUUUAUGUGUUUGACAUUUUCUAUAAUAGAAAGGCAGAUCAAAAAUAAGGCUCCAGUGCCUCCACUCAGGAAAGCUCAAGUAGGUUUUCUUGAGAAUUUUUAGUGGAUACCCUGUUUUGCAAUGUUCUUUUCUUUUUCUAAUGAGGCUGAACCAGAUUGUAAUGCCAUGAGGCUUCUACAUGGAGAGCUGGACGUUGGUGAGGAUUGGGUGGAGAAGGCCGGGUGGAGGCUGGGCCUGGGAGAAGAGCAGCAGAUUCCCAAACGUACUGGUAUUGGUGCAUACUCUGAGAAAGACAUCUCAGAGCACUUCUGCCGUCAGUUACGAAGUUUCAAUAUAAGAAUUCUUUCUA